CUUGUGAAGGUGUUCUUCGGGGCUAGGGUUUUUGACGUGAAGCACCUGCUGCGUUAUUGCGUUGGCCUUUAUGGUGGGCUUGAUCGGGUCUGCCAGGCUUUGGGAGUUGAUCGGAUUACUGGGAAGAGCCAUCAGGCAGGAUCAGAUAGCUUGCUGACGCUGCACGCCUUCCAGAAGAUGAGGGAAAUGUAUUUCAGUAUGGACGGUGGGCUGGAGAAGUAUGCAAACAUAUUGUAUGGUUUAGAGGUUUUUGGAUAAUAUAAUUUGCUUUGCGUUAUGUUUGCAAUGUCUCUCUGCUCCAGUCCAAGUAAAGGCAAUUAAAUUUUUGUACACAAUUUGGGAGUUAUCAAUAUUAUGAUUAGUUGAAUUUAAUUAUUUCUAACUUAUUUUGCUUGACGGCCUCCUUAACUAUUGAUCUUUUUAGUACUUGAACUGUUGAACAUUUGCGGUCAUAUUUGCUAAUCUUGCUUAAUGUGUUCUGAGAGUGAUCGCCAGGGAGGUGUCAGACCCUUCUACUAUAACGUUUCUUUUUUCCUUUUUAAUCUUACUAUGGCUACUGAGUAAUAUAAACGCUUUGAUGUCUUGGCUAUGAUGAACAGCGAGUUCUGGAAGCUGUUGUUGCAAGGCUAUGGGUGAUGGAAAUUCCGUAUUGAGUUAUUGGUAAGGUUGUGGUAGAAAAUCUCUUGAAGUAUUGGGUAUAAGAUUCCAGAAAACAAAAAUGCAGCCUUGCUUACACAGUAAUAGUACUGACUUGCUAUUGAGGCUGGGUAACUGCUUUUGUUUUGGUUUCUUGCACAACAAUCAAUCACUCAGAGCAUUAAGCUUGCAAAUUUGGUGAAGAUGAGAAUUGCUCACUGAUUCUAGAUGUUGUGAAUGAACAGUGGCAUGCUUAGUGCAAGGAUGUUAACAUUGGUUUCUCCACCUGUGUGUCAAAAUUAGAUUUCCCAUCUCUGUAGGUUCUCUUUUCAUGAGUUUUCCCAGCUCUGAAGUCAUAUUCUAUCACCCAAGGCCCUUUUUUUUUAUUUAAAAAAGCAACUGAAAUUUAUGUAAUGUAAAAAUCGGAGCAGCAUCAACAUCAUAUAUAUUCUAUUCUGAGGUAAGUUUGGAUUACAUCACAUACUGACUUUAGAGAGGUUAAGAGAAGAACAUGUGAGAUUUUAGUUUGGAACCUUUGACAAUCAACAAGUGACAGGUUUGGAAAGCCAACACAAUCAGAAUAUCAGACUAUGAGAAAGGUAAUUAAACAAUAGUUGGCAUGUAGAUCAAAUUUAAAUUCUCAGGACAAAUUGUGUACCUGCUAAUGAGGUUAUCUUAAUUUAGGAACCAUCACUGCUGAAAACUGCAGCGAACAACAGUGGUUAUAGACAUAGCAGAGCAGGGAAUAUGCAUACUAGCUGUGAGGACGGGUACUAGGAUUGUUAAUGUUGGUUUUGCUUGUGUGGAUAUUAGUCCUAAGGUUGCAUCAUAUGCAUGUAGGGUGUGUUCGCACCCUUCUUUCACCUUUAGCCGGUGUUCCAAAUGCAAGAUGAUAAAUGGCUAUAAUAAUGGGUGUGAUCAUGUACAUUUUUCUCUCCCAUACUUGUAUGCCUCUAGUGUAAUGACUUAAGAAGUAAAGAGAGCCAGUGAGGAAACUGAAAGAUAACAUGAAAUCCUACUUCUGGUUUUCAGAUUCCUCGGCCAAGUGAUCAACGUGUUAAUUGGCCUCUUGGAAAGCAUUUUUUAGGUGCUUAUGAUCCAUCUGGUGCAUUUUAUGCUUUAUUUGCUACAGUAAUAAGCUUCGAGCAUCACAAGAUGGAUUUGGUGCAUUGACUUGCUAAUGCUAAAAUAUAAAUGAGCAACAAACUGGUAUGUAUAUAUAUGAUAAUCGAUGACCCGUCUUCAUUUGGUCAAUACCACCCUCUUUUUGAUGGUAUCAUCAGAUUUUAUUAAAUUAAUUGAAUGAGUCUGAUGAUUUUCAACAUUUUGAGGUUUUUUUUUUUUAAUUCAUGGGACCUGAAAUCUAACACCUGCUGAUUUAUUGUAAGUUCAUGGGCAAUGGAUCUUGAGGUGUUAUCACAAUUCUCUCUCUGGUGCUAGGGUAAACUCAUGGGGAUGAUAUUAAAUAUGUUUAUGAAGGGACUAAGAGUAAAAAGAAAAUUUCUAUGUUCAUUCUAGCUGUCAUUGCUAUAAAUGCUUCAGAAGGAUGUUUAUGUAUACAGGCAAGUGAAUUCAAUUCAACUUUUCCUAUUUUUGUGACUUGUUGAAGAAACUCUUGAUUUCUUAGGAGGUUUUCUGAAUCUUUCAUAUAAGUAGAGUCUGCAUGAAAAGCUUAAAAAUUUUGGUUCUCUUUAUAUUCUACAGAUGCAAAAUUGAGAAUCUUGUGUCAAAGUUGGUUUCAAUCACUAUAAAAUGGCUUAAGCUCCUUAUGGAUUUUUGCAUAUGAUCUUAAGACUUGGUCAAUAAUUCUCUGAGUUGAGUUGUUUUUGAAUAAAAAAAGUUCAGUAAUUGGCAAACUUCUCCAUUUAUUUCCCUCUGCAUUUCUCCAGUAAUUGACAAGCUUUGUUUUUAAAGUUUUUUUUGGAUGUUGUUCUUAAUGUCACUGUUUAAGGAAGUAUCCUACAGCUUUGUCUUGCAAUAAAAACUUUAACUCUUCUUUUUUGGCCAUGUAGGGCAUGGAAAGGGUGUAAACUGGGACAUUAUGCUUGCAUAGGAUCAUCAGUGCCAUUGAGUAAACAGCUCUCGAGCCUAAAAAUGGUAAUCUAUCAAGAAAUGAAGUUGUCCAAUGGAGAGUUGGUGGAAUUAAUGAAUAUUUUGUUCUUUGUGCAAUCACUAUCAAGAGAGAAGGGCUGAUCUGUAAAUUGAAUAUGGAAAAGGCUUGUGAUCUUGUAAACUGGACUUUUGUGGAUUACAUUCUCAACGGAUUGGGUUUUGGGUCAAAAUGGAGAAAGUGGAUGAAAUCUGGUAUUACAACAGUUUCUUUUUGCAGUUCUAAUAAACGAGGGGCCCUCAAAUUUUUUUGCAACAUGUAAGAGGGUUGAGGUAAGGGGAUCCUAUUUCUCUCCUUAUUUUCAUAAUUGUGAUGGAAUCCCUCAAUGGACUACUAGUUAGGGCGAAUAAUCUUUUGCUGUUGAGGGGUGUCUCGGUUGGUAGGGGUGAUAACAGCAUGGUGGUAACUCAUCUAUUCUUCGCUGACGAUACUUUAAUCUUUUGUAAACCUGCUCUGAAAAAUCUACUAUAUUUGAGAUGUAUCCUCCUAUGUUUUCAAGCGGUUUCAGGUCUUAAAAUAAACCUUAACAAAUCUGAAUUGGCCAGAAUAGGAGGCAGCAGUGAUGCUGGUCCUUUUGCUAGAAUUUUGGGAUGUAAAGAAGUAAAAUUUCCUUUUAAAUAUCUUGGCAAAAUAUAAGGACCUCUGUACUUGGGAACUGAUUAUUAAUAUGUUUGAAAAUAAGGUUGGAAAAGAGGUUUUUUGUCAAAAGGUGGAAGAUAUACUCUCAUCAAGAGCACCUUUACGAAUUUACCAAUUUAUUACUUAUCUACAAUAACUAUACUGGUGAAGGUGGUAAAAAGAUUGGAAAGUAUUCAAUGCAAGUUUUUGUGGGGCGAUGGAUAUCAAUUGGAAUGAUAUCAAAUUACCGCUUGAUCUUAGGGCUUUGGGGGUGCAUUCUAUGGUUAAAUUGAAUGAGGUCCUUCAAGGUAAAUGACUUUGGAGAUAUUGGGGGGAAGAAAAUCGUCUUUGGAGAAGGAUUAUUGAAGCUAGAUGGGGUGAGCACUUGCAGGGCAAUAACAAUGGCAGAAUCAAAAUUCCACAUGGGCGUGGGUUAAGGAGGAAAAUAUUAAUGUUGAGGAAACUCUUCCAGCAGUGUAUUAACUGGAAAAUUGGUAGAGGCAACAGUAUCAAAUUCUGGGAGGAUGAUUGGGUUGGCAAUAGGUGUCUUAGGUGGAGUUUUCUGAGAAUUUUUAAUAUUGCUCAAACGACUAAGAUGACUGUUGAGGAGGCCUACAGAGUCUUGAAUGGUAAUAUUGUCUGCUGUAUUAAUUUAAAACGGAAUUUAAAUGAUUGGGAGAUUGAAGAGUUUGAAGAUCUUCUGAAGUGUCUCGAGGCACAGCUUAUUUCUGAUAGGAACGAUCAGGUUGUUUGGAAGUUGGAAAAGAAUGGAAAAUUCUCUGUUUCUUCUUUUUACAAUUAUUUAUGUGAUAUGGGAGCUGUGAAUAGAUUGGUAUUUCCAGUAAAGCUAAUCUAGAAGACCAAAAUUCCACCCACAACUGUUUUUUUUUGCGUGGGAGACAUGCUGGGAAAGAAUUUAAACUAUGAACAGAUUGAAAAUCAUGGGCAGAAUUAUUGUUAAGGGGUGUUACUGCUGUUUUAAGGCUGAGGAGACGUGUAACCACCUACUGUUAUGGUGCCCCACUGCAUAUAAUUUAUGGUAUACAAUUUAUGGUUUAUUAGGAAUUAAUUGAGUCAUUUCAGGUUCGGUCGAAAGAGAGAUUUAGGUGUGGGAUGGUUUCUAUGUAAAAAGAAGUAUGAAAAACAUUAUUUCUUUAACUGUUUUUUGGGUCAUUUGGAAAAAGAAAAAUAGGAGAGUUUUUGAUAAUGUUGAAAAUAGUAUUAAUAGACUAAUAGAUAGGUGGAUAUACUUAUUCAGGUCGAUUAUACUUAGUCAUGAUAUUAUUAGUAAUGUGGAUUUUGAGAAUGUUAUUAACAUAUUAACUUCUAUGUAAAUAGUUUUGUACAUGGGUGGUACUCCCGUUUUUUUGGUAUCAUGAUUAAUACAUACUUUACACUUUUUAUUUUUUAAAAAAAAAAAUAUUUGUCCAUGUUGUGUCUUAUGAAUUAUGCAAAAUGUUGAUGUUAGUCCUGUUCUAUAGAACUGGGAAUGCAUUAGGUAAAUAAAAAAGAGAAUGAAAUGAUAGAAUCCAAUUUAAAUUGAAUCUUUCUGGGCCAUGGUGUAAAACAAUCUUAUAGAUGUGAAUUUUACUUCUUGAUAUUUUGAUCAUGGUAAAAGGGAGUGCCAGCCUAGCCCAGGGAGUUAGCCAAUUGUAAGUAUGCAAAUUGUUACUCCAUACAAUAAUCUUAUUGAAAUGGAUGACUUUAGACAUUUUUCUUCAUGCAGGCAAUCAACAUCUAUUACAAUCUUAGCUUGCAGGAGUUAUUGAAUCUUUAGCUCUCUAAGGUUGGAACUGUGCUCUGGAUCACCUUUUGCUCAAUCAUAAUUUGUAGGUUCGUUGAAAAAUAUAUCUGCUAAUUACAUUUAUUUUUUGGUAAAUAUUAGUUUAGUUUUUAUUAGUUGAGAGGAAAUGACAUGCUGGGAAGAUUCUACUUGUUUAUGAUGUAGUUAGAGGAACUGCUCUCGUUUUGUGAUGAAGGUUUAGAACCUGAAAAAUAUGCUCUCUUUUCCAAUGACUUAAGUUCUAUCAGGAUAUGCAUUGAAAGAAGCAUGGUUCUAGACUAACCUUGUGUUGAACAAAGUUUUUAAGUCUCAUUUUUUUUGCAUAGCCAACAUUAUAGGAUUUUGGAGAACCUUCUUUAUCCAUGUGAAGUUAUAGGAUUUUGGAGAACGUUCUUUAUCCAUGUGAAGGCAUAGAAUGGAAAUAUGCUCCUUCUUUCUGGUUCUCUCUUUGGAUCAAAUGAUUGAUGAUUUUCUCUCUUCUUUUUUUUUAUUUUAAAUGUAUUAGCAAAUGAAGGAAUAAAAUUAAGGAUCUGGAACUUGGCACUUCAAUUUUACUAGCAGGGUUUAAACUUGUUUUGGUGCAUUAUCGAGGAGAUAUAUCCGGCAUUGUGAUUUUAAUAUAUAUAUACACACUUUCCUUUUCCCUCCUGCCCUCUCUUUUGACUAAGGGUGUAUGGUGGUUGCUUCCAUAAAUUGAACAUUUAGUUGCCAACGACAACAAUAUGAAGCACCAAAAAGGACAGUGAUGAGAUGAGGUUGAAUAUAGCAUGGCACUGAGUACUAGCUGGUUGAAUUGAAUUGUUCAUCAAUCUGUGAUUAUUAAUGUGCCUGAUCAGUCCUACUUUUGGUUGCUAAAACCAGCCUAUUUACAACAAAUUUUAUGUUCCUUGGUGUUGGUCGGCUGUACCCCUAUAUGUUGUAUUACUCUUAACAUGUAAAAUGAACACAUGGUUUUUAUGUUUGAUCUUACCCCCUCACCACACUUUUGUACGAGGAGAUUAAACAUAAAGCUACAUUCUUAGUCUACAAGUCAACACUAAAAUAAAAUUGAUGGGUAGGAAUUAUGUGAAUGAAAUGUGAAUUGGACCGAAAUGGGAAUGAAAUGACAAUUGAACCAGAUGAUUUUUGGUUAAAGAAUUUUAGAUGCCAGGGUGCCUUUUCCUUUGUAAUCCCAUACAAGCCACUUUGUGUUUGCUUGUUUUUGCUUCUUCUAAUGCAGUGGCUGGUUGCUGAAUCCAAAUAAAAGACUACGUCCUUGAUUGAAUGCUGAUUAAGUCAUGCUCCUCAUGUUUCUGAAAGUUUUGGCAUCUUGUGCCUGUAUGAUGCUUUAAUGAGCAACAAUGCCAACACGGGAGAAUCUCUUCAACUGUGGCUGAAGGAUAUGGCAGACAGUAGAACAAUAUGGCAAUACAUGAUCCAGUUUGUGUGCUUAGACUGGUGGUUGGAUGAGCCUCUAUCCAAAUGCGAUUGGCCAGUGGCCUUUGCAUUCUUUAAGCAAAUUUGGCUGCUUUGGACAUGAGACAAGGAUGGAGAUGAAGGUUGUCUAUAAGCCAAAACCAAUGGCAGUUCUCUGACCUAUGGGGUCCUCUCCUCCCAGAGGGUGCCUCCCAAAAAAUUGGGUCUCUCAGCCAUAAGAUUGAAGUCUCCCUACAUUAAUUCGCAGACCUUGUCUUUUGGUAAACUGCUUCAAUGCUAGUUGUUAAUAAGAAACUACCAAAAGAAUUCACAGUCCACGUCCUUUUCUUCUUUUGCUUUGUAAGUUAUUUUCUUUCUCUCGUCUCCUUUUAUGAUAUGAAAAAGAAGGAAUCCAGCAGAUACAUAAAAUUUUUUUGUUGAUGCACAAGAAAAAUGAACGGUUCUGGAGCUUUCUUUGCUUUAACAAUGAUUGAGCAUCUGGGAACAACCCGGAACCAAAAAUGCACUGUUGUUAGGCACAUGAUUCGUGUUUUUUCAAGGAUUCCUUACAAGAGAAGCAGAGAGUUCAGACAGGAGAUCGACAUACUCUAUUAUUGCAUCAACAAUGGUUUUGAAUCAUGGAGCCAAAGUUCGUUGGUGUAUAUGAUUCUUGCGUGUUGAAUAUUUGGUUGUGGUCUCGAGUGGACAUAACAUGAGCUUGCACAAGAGCAUGCCAAAAAGGCAAUAAGAUUUUUUUAUCUACCUACCUGUCUAUCCAUUGAAGGUAGUCAUGUUUUAAGGUUAUCCAUUAUAUUUUGAACUAUGUACCCAGAAUUUAAUUUAAACCCUAAUGUUCUACCAAGCAA
Molecule: non-coding RNA, 7408 nt
Organism: Carica papaya (papaya)
Lineage: Eukaryota; Viridiplantae; Streptophyta; Magnoliopsida; Brassicales; Caricaceae
Source: RefSeq, a predicted model, not a curated record